AUGGGACUGGUGCACUGACAAGAACAAUGGGGUGAGCUCUCUUGUCCCUUCUGCCAGAGGAACUCAAAUAGGAGGUGCUGUCCAUGAGAUACUGGCCUCUGCCAACACCGAAUGUGAUUUUCUUCAUCAUGGACUGCCCAGCCUCCAGGACAGGAAGCAGUAAGUUUCUGUAGUUUAGAAGUUACCCAGUCUGAGGUACUUUGUUACAGCAGUCCAGAUGGACCAGGACGGGACCCUAUUUCUUGGCAGGUAUCACACAACACACAAUGAGGAUGCAACUUCCCAUGACACUCGUCCUUCACAGGGAUUGUAUGGGUUGAGGCAGACUGAGGAGCACAAAGCAGCAUAAUCUCUCUAUAUCGUUUGUAGACUCUCACAAGUCCCUCGGCUUGGGAAACACAGCAAACAGACAAGAAUCUAUCACCAACUCCACAAUAAGACCCCAGCAGACACAAAUGAGAGCACCCUAGAAGAGGGUCCAGUGAAACAUAUGUAUCAGUGUCUUAAUCACUGAUAAGAAGGAAGGAGACUAGAAGAUCCAAGUAACAGAGCCCAGGACUAUCAGCAUAAACUGUCUCUAUGGAUAAGAGGAGAUAUGACCUUCUGAAGGGGAAACCCAUCAGGGGUUACCUCUCAAAUCCUGCAAACUUCAGAGCCUUUCUGGAGCUAAGACAAGGAGAAAAAUCCAUCUAGCGGUGCAUUCAGGGCUGAGUUGAGGACCAAAUAGCAAAUUUCUGGGAGUACAAGUCUCCCUGCCACUGAGACCCCCUGUCCAGGAAGGGGGUGUGGCCCCAUUCUGCUGACUCAGUGGUCCCUAGGUUUGGAUGCUGUGACCACCAAGAGGAGGGUCACACCUAGGUUGGGGCCAAAACAACUAGCCAGUGUCAGUACCAGCAUCUGUGCUGGAGGUUGCGAUCUUCUCUGCUGCCCCCGGCCUCAUGCUGCAGGACAAAUCAUCUUUCAUAGGACCAGCAAUCAGUAGACUCUAGGGACACAGAGCCCCAGUGUUGGCCAGAGGCUCCAUAAAGGGAAAAGAAAAAACCAGGACAAGGCAUUUGAUUUGGAAUCAAAAUACACUGAGAAGCCGGAAGAACCAAAAAAAGCAAG
Molecule: long non-coding RNA, 1107 nt
Organism: Heterocephalus glaber (naked mole-rat)
Lineage: Eukaryota; Metazoa; Chordata; Mammalia; Rodentia; Bathyergidae
Source: Ensembl